RNAcentral lists this ribosomal RNA (459 nucleotides) under uncultured bacterium. RNAcentral's name for it is "partial 16S ribosomal RNA". It matches the Rfam family "Bacterial small subunit ribosomal RNA", at positions 339 to 795 of the family's 1533-position model. The record is from RNAcentral.
CUACGGGAUGCUCCAGCAAGGAAUAUUGCGCAAUGGAGGCAACUCUGACGCAGCCAUGCCGCGUGCAGGAAGAAGGCCUUAUGGGUCGUAAACUGCUUUUAUUUAGGAAUAAACCCCCGAACGUGUUCGGGGCUGAAGGUACUAAACGAAUAAGCACCGGCUAACUCCGUGCCAGCAGCCGCGGUAAUACGGAGGGUGCAAGCGUUAUCCGGAUUUAUUGGGUUUAAAGGGUGCGCAGGCGGGCUAUUAAGUCAGUGGUGAAAUCCCGGGGCUCAACUCCGGAACUGCCAUUGAUACUGAUAGUCUUGAGUUUGGUUGAAGUGGGCGGAAUGUAGCAUGUAGCGGUGAAAUGCAUAGAUAUGCUACAGAACACCAAUCGCGAAGGCAGCUCACUAAGCCAAAACUGACGCUCAUGCACGAAAGCGUGGGGAUCAAACAGGAUUAGAUACCCUCGUAGUC